Molecule: ribosomal RNA, 459 nt
Filed under: uncultured bacterium
Lineage: Bacteria
Description: partial 16S ribosomal RNA
Rfam family: Bacterial small subunit ribosomal RNA
Source: RNAcentral
CCUACGGGAGGCAGCAGUGAGGAAUAUUGGUCAAUGGUCGGGAGACUGAACCAGCCAAGCCGCGUGAGGGAGGAAUGUACAGUGUAUCGUAAACCUCUUUUGUCAGGGAACACAGGCGGGGACGUGUCCCCGGAUGAGUGUAUCUGCAGAAAAAGCAUCGGCUACCUCCGUGCCAGCAGCCGCGGUAAUACGGGGGAUGCGAGCGUUAUCCGGAUUUAUUGGGUUUAAGGGGUGCGCAGGCGGUCUGUUAAGUCAGCGGGCAAAGCCCGGGGCUCAACCCCGACCCGCCGUUGAAACUGGCAGUCUCGAGUUGGAGAGAAGUAUGCGGAAUGCGCGGUGUAGCGGUGAAAUGCAUAGAUAUCGCGCAGAACUCCGAUGGCGAAGGCAGCAUGCCGGCUCCACACUGACGCUGAGGCACGAAAGCGUGGGUAUCGAACAGGAUUAGAUACCCUUGUAGUC